RNAcentral lists this transfer RNA (80 nucleotides) under Streptomyces lavendulae. RNAcentral describes it as "tRNA-Phe". Lineage: Bacteria; Bacillati; Actinomycetota; Actinomycetes; Kitasatosporales; Streptomycetaceae. The record is from RNAcentral.
GCCUCCGACGGCACCAGGGGCGGGCGUAGAUCGAACUCCUAAAGCGGGUGUCGCAGGUUCGAAUCCUGCCGGGGGCACCA